RNAcentral lists this ribosomal RNA (443 nucleotides) under uncultured bacterium. RNAcentral's name for it is "partial 16S ribosomal RNA". It matches the Rfam family "Bacterial small subunit ribosomal RNA", at positions 338 to 795 of the family's 1533-position model. The record is from RNAcentral.
CCUACGGGUGGCAGCAGUGGGGAAUAUUGGGCAAUGGGCGCAAGCCUGACCCAGCAACGCCGCGUGAAGGAAGAAGGCUUUCGGGUUGUAAACUUCUUUUCUCAGGGACGAAGAAAGUGACGGUACCUGAGGAAUAAGCCACGGCUAACUACGUGCCAGCAGCCGCGGUAAUACGUAGGUGGCAAGCGUUAUCCGGAAUGAUUGGGCGUAAAGGGUGCGCAGGCGGUCCUGCAAGUCUGGAGUGAAACGCAUGAGCUCAACUCAUGCAUGGCUUUGGAAACUGGAGGACUGGAGAGCAGGAGAGGGCGGUGGAACUCCAUGUGUAGCGGUAAAAUGCGUAGAUAUAUGGAAGAACACCAGUGGCGAAGGCGGCCGCCUGGCCUGUUGCUGACGCUGAGGCACGAAAGCGUGGGGAGCAAAUAGGAUUAGAUACCCUAGUAGUC